Long non-coding RNA from Pteronotus mesoamericanus, 988 nucleotides. RefSeq lists it as uncharacterized. The record is from RefSeq and is a predicted model, not a curated record. NCBI's taxonomy places the organism in Eukaryota, Metazoa, Chordata, Mammalia, Chiroptera, Mormoopidae. The transcript has 3 exons.
UCGACAUGCUAUGCUUUCUCUUUUUACUCUGCCACUGUGACCUCCGGGUUCCCGUUAGAGACUCCUCCGUCAGUGUGGGUCUGGGCAUGAAGAGGACACAGAACAGAACAUCUAGCCAGCCUGCAAUGGACACAUAGAAUGGCAGAGGAGUGAAUGGGAGUCAUACAGACCUCCUCCCAAGACCAAACUGGAAUUGCGACUAAAUAGUGGAGAAAUCACCUGGAAAACAAUGGAAUGAUAGAGGGAGAGAAACCUUGGAGCUACAGACAGGCAGUGGAAUCAACUCUCACACAUCCCAACGGGAAUCCUGGCUAAGUAAGCCAAAGAGGUCAUCUAUCAAGAAGAAAGCACCAUUUCUCAACCUUGGUAGUAUGUAAGAAUCAUCUGGAGAAAUUUUAAAAAAUGUUUAAAUUUUUCUAUUGACUUCUCUUAUAGUUGAUUUAUUUAACUUUGUAAGUGAAAAUUUAAAGAUGUUAUAGCAAUGCUUUUUACUUAUUUUUAAUUUUUUUUGUUUGUUUAAAGCUUAACUCAAAAGGGAAUCAUUACUAGACCUGUGAAAAAUUACCUGCCUAGUUUUAUUGAAACCUUUCUGCAGUGUUUGAGCUUUAAGACAUCUUCCUUCCCUUGCGACUUCCUUAUAAUUUUCAUUUUGAAUUUUUAUGAUGUCAUGGGGAAAUGCUUCUUCAGUGUUUCUAAACUAAUCAACACUUUGAUUCCCUAUUCAAAUGAUGUCCCCAUUGAGAAAGACACUAAUUUUAAGAUCUGCAUGGCUAAACAGAGUCUCAAGCUCAAGUUUCCCACUACUAUCAACAGAUUGUGGAAGAAAGGAAACUACUGAUUAAAAUACUGAAAUGAAAUCGCUGGUUUCUGGAAAAAAACAUGACUUUCAGAGAAAAAUAAGAUACUUUACAUAAAAAAUAUUCCUGCUAAAAAUAUAAUUUUUCAGGAAAAUUAUACCUUUGUUGCCACACAGCUGAUGGUGUAGAAU